Molecule: ribosomal RNA, 264 nt
Filed under: uncultured archaeon
Lineage: Archaea
Description: partial 16S ribosomal RNA
Rfam family: Archaeal small subunit ribosomal RNA
Source: RNAcentral
AGACGUCUACAUUAGAUACCCCUGUAGUCCCAGCCCUAAACGAUGCGCGUUAGGUGUAUCGGUGACCACGAGUCACCGAGGUGCCGAAGGGAAACCGUGAAACGUGCCGCCUGGGAAGUACGGUCGCAAGGCUGAAACUUAAAGGAAUUGCGGGGGAGCACCACAACGGGUGGAGCCUGCGGUUUAAUUGGACUCAACGCCGGGAAGCUCACCGGAUAAGACAGCGGAAUGAUUGCCGGGCUGAAGACCCUGCAUGACCAGCUG